ACACACUGUCAAGUAAGGUCGAUUUCUUAGAGUCCAGGAGACAGGGAGGAGGUGGAGAGGUCUGUGGGCAGAUAAGGGAGAGGGAGGUGGGGGCUGUUGGAAAAUUUCCAAGGCCUUGGGAAAGGUGGGGGUUUUACCAGCGGGGACUGAAGGACUGAAGAGGAAUAGAUUUACUUAUGUCAGUGUUACUCAUGUAUCAGAGGUGCGCAUGUAUCAGUUAAAUAUCAUAAAAUCAUAUAUCAUGUUUUAGUAUCAUCAUAUAACAAUCAUUUUCUUUGCUUCUUUGUUUUAGUAUCAUCAUGAAUAUAUCUCUUUCUUUAAUAUCUAUCAUUCAUUAUAAAAUUUAUCAUGUUGUUUAGACAUAAUCGGUUAUGGAAGAAAGCACUUAGAAAGAUUACAGCACUUGUGGGUGAAAUGAUGUUGACAUACGCUUAUGACAUGUUGUAUUGUUUAUCUUACACUUAUGAUAUGUUGUAUUAUGGUAUUGUUUAUCAUUAUAUGGUGUAUUUUACUUAUUAGUAUAAUUUGUGGAACAAGUAACAACAAUCUGAAGGCGUACGUGCCGGAGAGAACGUGCCUGAGAGUAGGCCUACGUGCCUGAGAGAAUCUUUGCCAUGGCGCGGUGGAAAAAUACCAGGUCAGAGUGACCUGAUGGCCAGCUGCAUGGGUAAGAGAGAGGGCGGGGCUGACAGUGAAAGUUUUAGAUAAAAGGCGCUGUAGGAAGCAGAGAGAUAGAGACAUCGUCCCGACGGGGGCUCCAUGCGGGGCGGCCCUGGGCCCUUUGCGAUCUCCGUACUUUCGGACUUAGAAAACUUAGAAAAUUUAGAAAACUUGGAACAUCCGAUCUCCGUACUUUCGGACUUAGAGAGAUUAGAACAUCCGAUCUCCGUACUUUCGGACUUAGAGAGAUUAGAACAUCCGAUCUCCGGACUUUCGGACUCAGAAAAAUAAGGACAUCCUCUCUCCAACACGCUACAGAUAUGCGUGUCUUAGCCCACCGGGGCAAAGAAGACUACUGGCAGUGGGACCAUUUGAUGAGAAUAUCCUGGCUGUGGGACCAUUUGAUGAGACCGACCCUCCGUGCCCGAGGAGAGAUAGAGCUCCUCUCUCUCUCCCUACUGUCGACACCGGAGAAGCGUAGUGUAGAGAGGUAAGAAUCAGGAAUCGAAAUUAUUAUAGACUAAAUCAGCUUUAUAAACAAACCCAAUUUAUUAGGCACUAUAUUAUUGGAGAGAUAGGGAUUCCCUCUCUUUUCCUCUGUCAACACCGUCGUGGAACACCAGCGUUGCUCACUUCUCGAUGACAGGGAGCGGCCCGUAUCAGAUAGGGGCCAUCAGAGCAACAUUCCAGCGCAGCUCACCCUCCCCAAUCUGAAUCAGUGCGGGGGCCAACGACAAGGGAACAACAGCCUUUCUCUUCACACAGCUGAGGGGAGUGUUGAACAUAGUGCAGAGAGGUGAGAAAACCGGAAUCGAAAUUAUCGUAGACAAACCCACCAAGAUGUGUUCCAGAUGUAUUUUAUGUCACUUAUUUAGAAGUGUCACUGACGGCAUUUUAUUAGUAACUAUAUUAUAUGUAUUAACAUGUUUCUUUUUGAAGGCCUUCACCGCUUGCUGCAAUGUCCCAGAUAUUAAUCCUGCCAAUAAAACUAUAUUCAAACCAUUCCUUUUCAAUCAUUCCAAGGACCUGCUACGGAGGAGUGUAGGUUAGAGCUUCAGUGAACAAACUAACUGUUCUAGUAUAGGCAUCGUGGAUCUAAGAGGUUACCUAGUACAAAGAAAUCAAACGUAUCCCGGGAGUUAGUCAUUCCAAACUCCUAAAACAUCUCAGCAAAUUCACCAAGUGCACGGAUCCCAGAGGAGAGCUAUCAUAACAGACGUGAUCGGCAUGCCACAUUCCUGGCUACGGGUUAUGCCCAGGGGUGGGGCCACCGAGGUAAGCGGGAUAGGCGUCUGAUACAAGGUAGUUAGGGGCUGAGCGAAUCUCCUCACCAACCUGUUACAACCGUUACGGGAUACAGGUUUCACUAGCAUCGCCAUUUAGGGGGUGGUAGAAUUGACGGAUCUGACAACACACACACACUCACCCAUCCACAUACGCACACACACACACACACACACACACACACACACACACACACACACACACACACACACACACACACACACACACACACACACACACACACACAAACAAUAACUAA
Gadus macrocephalus (Pacific cod) is the source of this 2203-nucleotide long non-coding RNA. RefSeq lists it as uncharacterized. NCBI's taxonomy places the organism in Eukaryota, Metazoa, Chordata, Actinopteri, Gadiformes, Gadidae. The record is from RefSeq and is a predicted model, not a curated record. The transcript has 3 exons.